RNAcentral lists this transfer RNA (72 nucleotides) under Camelus ferus (Wild Bactrian camel). It matches the Rfam family "tRNA". Rfam says of the family: Transfer RNA (tRNA) molecules are approximately 80 nucleotides in length. Their secondary structure includes four short double-helical elements and three loops (D, anti-codon, and T loops). Further hydrogen bonds mediate the characteristic L-shaped molecular structure. tRNAs have two regions of fundamental functional importance: the anti-codon, which is responsible for specific mRNA codon recognition, and the 3' end, to which the tRNAs corresponding amino acid is attached (by aminoacyl-tRNA synthetases). tRNAs cope with the degeneracy of the genetic code in two manners: having more than one tRNA (with a specific anti-codon) for a particular amino acid; and 'wobble' base-pairing, i.e. permitting non-standard base-pairing at the 3rd anti-codon position. Lineage: Eukaryota; Metazoa; Chordata; Mammalia; Artiodactyla; Camelidae. The record is from Rfam by way of RNAcentral.
AGGGGCAUAGCGCAGUGGUAGAACACGUGCUUAUCAUGCACAAGGUCCUGGGUUCAAACCCCAGUACCUUCU